GGAACCUCAGAGUCUCAAAGUGACCAGGUCAUGAUCAGCAGGGCUCGUGCUGGACAAGAGUUGAGAGUUUCAGCUGUAUCAGACCUGGCUCCAUGCUAAGUCAGUCCAAUACUUUUGCUCCCCUUGUGCCCUAGGGAAUCUCUGUUAUUCUGGUUUUCCCAUCAGCCGUGGCACAUCAGUGCUUUGUUAGGGAGAGCUGUGGGUGGUACUGCACACACAGAAAUGAUGUCUGCUCUUGCAAGGCAGCCACACAGGAUCACUCCAGCACAGAGCCUGAACGUGAGCGUUCUGUCCCUGAAGUAUUUUCAUUCCUUUUUGAGUUUAGUUUUAGCUUUUGAUCUCCAGGUUCUGUAACUUUUAAUCAGAGGAAAUUACUCUGUGUCUUGCCAUUUACUAAUAAUUUUGUACAAUCUCUUACAAUUACUACUGGUUUUGUUUGAAAAUAUGGUGCAUUUACUAAUUUAUUUAUAAAUUAUCACCUAAUGCAUCAUAUAAAAUACAAACCAAAUUUCUGUAUUUCAGGAGUUUUGGGGUUUUUUUUUUUUUUUGUAUUAUCAUAUAAACACAUCUGCUUACAUUCUUAUUACAUUUUUAGACCCACAAGAAAAUCAAACUCAAAACAAUACCGUAAAUGAACACCAGUACAUAGGAUAGGUACUAUUUUAAAACAGAGGUUUGGAUUUCAUAAUUUAAGUGCCUUUUUUUUUGCCAGACCAAAAUACUUUACAUGCUACUAACUUGAGCUAUAACUUUUAUUGUGGUUGAAAUCCUGAACCCUCCUUACAGCAAAACUGUCACGGUCCAUGCUAUAAACCCCAGAGCUAGCAAGAGAUUAGGGGCCAAGGGGAUUGCUCCAGACCCCAUUUUCAUGCUCCAGAGAGGAGUUAUUGUACUAUUUCUGCUACUGCUGUCUCCUCGCUUCACACAUGGUCGAGAACCCUCCCUGCUCCCACUCUCUCACGCCUCCAGCCAGUCAACAACUUGUAAUAAAAAGCUGAUGCCAAAAAUUAGAAUCAUAACCAUAUAUUGAAACACUCUUCUGAAGUGCUUACAUCCCCAAACCCAUAUGGACCCAGCAAAGGAUGUCAGAGAGAGAGAGAGGGGAGAAGAGAGAGACGAGAGCAUCUAGCUGAGAAGCACGUGGAUUCAUGCUAGCAGCAGCCCAGCAAGCUGCUGGAACUGAUUUACCACUAAAGCUGUUAAGCAAUGACUGACUUCUUCCAAUUAUUGGUUUUGCAAACAAUAAUCAGGUUAAAAUUAGUCAUCUGGAUAUAAAACUUUGCUUGAAGGAUAGGGAGUGCUGUCCUGUGGGAGAAAGGGAAGAGGGAACACUCAGAAAGGGGAGACAUGAGAAAGCAUCCUAGAGGUGGGAAAUGUGUUUUGCAUCAGGGCAGAGCUGCAGGACAUCGUACAGCACACUUUCAGCUCACUCUCUCACCUCAGGGACUGCCAAAUGCCACUGUGGUGACAGCAGGGAUGAGCUGGAUGCCAGAGUAUGAGGUCUGGGGACAUGUGCACAUAAAAGAGGGAGAGAAAGAGACACACAGAGAUGGAAAUUUAAAGGCAGACAUUAUAGUCUCAAACAUAUACUCCUGUUUUGCAUGACUUUUCCUACUCCAGUCUCAGUUUGCAAUUACAGACCAAAAUUAACAAUCUACUUUACCAUCUGCACAUAUAUUUCUUUAGAUUUAACCACUGCACUGCAAGCAGGCCAGUCUGUUUUAAGAAAUAUAGCCUCAUUGAGAGCUGAUGGAUCAAGAAACAGAGGUACAAAGGUAUGGGAUAACAUUUUCAAAAGCAAGGGGGGCAGGUCCUGACUCUGGGGUGACCAUCUAGUUUACCACAAACCAGAUACUUUUUUUUUUCAAAACUUUGGUUUCUGUGACUGUAGCCAAAUAACAAGAGAGAAAACUGGAGCCUGAGCACAAAUUUCUGGCUCCUAUCCUUUUCUUAGACCACCAUGCUGGAUUACCACCACUGCUAACAGCACUUCCACUGAGAAUUGGCAGCUGGGCCCCCUGACAAAAUAUGGAGAUACGCUGAUGGGCUUUGAGCUGAAAACACUGAAGUAUUUGCUCCAUUUAAUAAAGAAAAGCAUCUAAAUCUUUUAAGUUGAAAGUUCUACUGGGAAAUAAGCAAUAGCAAUUGCUGUGUUCCAAAUGUCAAGACUUCCAUCCUUCUAUAAAUCGUAGGCAGGGCUCAAACACAAGGGGGAAAAUUCCCAGCACAAUCCUGCACACUGCACACAGCACAGUUCUGGAAAAGGAUGGCACUGAGCAACUGCAUUAUCCAUACAGUUUUCCAGCCUUUUCACAUGCCCAAAGAGAAAAAAGCCUGCCCCAGGAAAGGAGGAGAUUUUACUUAGCAUAGUAAAAAUUAAGACACAAAUUAUGGGGAAUACUUGUACAAGAAGAAUUCAGCUUCCUACACACUUGGAAGUAUGACUGACUAGGAAACAAUAAUAGUAGCUGUUCAGAGAUUGUACCACCCCUCCUAAUAACUCUGUGUUUCUUUCAGUCUGCAUGAUUCUGUAUAAUUUUGAAGCCUAUUAGAGGUGAAGGAAGUGAGGGCACUGACUAUAAAACACAAAGGUCAAGACACAACCCCUUCCCCGGGAAGUCCCUCCACUGCAGAUUAAUAGCUGUUUUGACAGUUUAACAAUUAAAACAUUACUCUAACUGUGCUCUGAUUUUACACAUCUUCUCAGCAUUAUGGAGUGCUGCAUCCUGGACUAAAAUGGAGGGUGUUGGCAUUUUUCUCAGCCAUUCUUGAAUUUUUACCCAUAUAUAUUUUUGCUUUUAGUCAGAUUUUCUUCUUUUUUCAGCAAGUAAAAAAUUUUAAGCAGACAAGCAACAAGAAUUUCACAGCCCUUAUUUUAAAAAGCAUAUAGGAAAUCAGGCUCUAAAAUCCACAUUUAUAUAAUUAAUGACUCCUAAUCAGAGGAAGUCCUAGUAAGGUUCCCUGAUGUGCUGAAAGACAAAGAUAGACAGCACCAAGACUGCCAGGCUGACCUAUACUGAUCUCAGACAAGAGACUUUCACAUGAGGCUUCUUGCCCACAGUGUCACCACAUCCUGCUCCUCUUUGUUCCACAAUAUAGGAGACUUCAUUAGAUUUGCAACCUCAAGCUCAUUUCCAUUGCACCUCAUGGCACAACAAAACACAAGACAUUGAGCACCAUACUCAGAUUUCAUCAGGAGAGAAGGAAUUGGGCUGUGAGCUGACGGAGUUGUACAACUUAGAUAAGUGCAACAAAAGAAAUCAAGUGUCACAGCAUGCUAAAGCCACCCUGAGAAUAAAGGGGAUCCAAACCAAGCUGCACAGAUCACUGAUUGGAUCCCCACAGAUCCAAAUCAGGAUCUUAGCUGCCCCACUGGUUGGCCUUUUUAAGAGUCAAUGCUUCAAACUGUGGCAUUGGGACUCAGGGAAGAAUCUGUUCUCCAAAGUAUCAGACCUAAGUCACAAUCUGUGACUUGACUCAUGGUCAACUCACUCAGACUUCAACCAACCCAAUUAUUUCUCCUAAUUGCACCUCUACUGGAACUGUUUCCCUGUCUGAAGCCCCAGCUGAAAUAUGUCUUUUUAGGGCAUAUAAAAGAGUCUGCUUAUUCGUAUGCUUCACUCCUUUGAAUGUUUUAAUUUCCACUGAUAAUAACAUUUUAUUCCUUGUUUGUUCUCUACCUCUGAGAAAAAUCUGUGUUAGCACUAGGAUCUUACUGAUGAUGGAGUCCUGCUCUCAGCUGGACUCCUCUUUCAAACAUUUUCAGAGUAAAACACAUUGUAAGACUCAUAUCUAAGUAUUUUUUGCAAGGAUUCAAGUUUGUAAACUUGCACCCAAUGUUCUGGUUUCAAAAUAAAGCCAUAAACAUUUUUGCAUGACCAAAUAAAUAUCAAUAUUAAGACAGAAGCAGAGGAACAGUACAUAUUUAGAUAAGCCAGAAAGGUUUCAGACAGUGAACAUUUGAAUCAAUUUUAUACCUACAGCUUGAGCUAAGACUAAGAGCUCAAUCUGUAGGACAAGCCCCAAAGCAGUCUUUGAUCAUAAAAAGUUCACUGUGCUAUAUCCUUCAAGUAAGUAUAAUUCCCCUUCUUCAGAUCUCCUCAGACCUUGUGUAUAGAAGCUCGUUUUGUUUGAUCUGCUGUAUAAACACAGUUGCACAUUUGGGGUUAAAUACAUCUAGGAGGUAUUCCUGCAUCCUGCUGGCAUGGACAUUUCUAAGCCAUUCCCUACAGAGGAUUUGUUCAUUAACACAAUUCUCUCACUUAGUGUUCCAUUGCAUUGGCUUCAAUAGGAGAAAAAAAAAUCCAAAUUUUUCCAAUAGGAUGCUCCUAGAAGCUGAAUGAGGUUUAGACAGUGGUUUUUUUUCAAGCAUACUCUCCAGAAGGCAAUAUUUUAGAGAGACUGAGUGCAGUGUGAACCAAGGUAAGCCAGGCUGGAAGACUCCAUUCACAAGGACUGGUGAAAAUCAGUCCUUAAAUACUGCUUUCAGAACUUUAUAUUUAUGAACUUCAUGUCUGCAUACUCAGAGAAAAAGAUAGUGGAAUUUCAAAAAUCUGGAAAUCCCAUAAAAUUACUGAAUCCCGCAUAGCUUCUGUUCAAAAGUAUAAAGUUACUGCAAUUUUUUUGACAGUCCUGUCAAAAAUUUGUGAACAAGUCUAGUCUGAACUUAGCAAGAGACACUUCCUGUGCCUGAAGGACCUAACAGCAAUCCUUGAAGUUUGGAAAAUGUCUCAGCAUGCAGCUCCUCCACAGAGAGAAGCUGAUGAGAGUAGCAUAACCCUGCUGAACGCCAAGUCCUGUGAAAAACCCAGGAGCUCAAACACAGCACUGAUGGUUUCCAAAUUCCCUUGAAAAAUAAAGUUAGCUCUUCUGAAUUUCCCCUGCAGUGACAGGCAGCUCCAGAGCCAUAAAUGAUUGCUGAUGUGGUAAGGAAGUCACAGUGAUUUCAGGAACAUUAGGAGCAUGACUUGGGAAGGCGUUUGGGAAGCAAGCUUUAGCAUAAAGCACACUGCCUCUCCAGACUUCCAACCACAGCCCCUGUCUGCCAGCUCCCCAAAUGACAUUUAGUUAUGCACUUUUCUAGCAAUUCAUUCUCUUGCAUCUGGAAGGACACUGUCAUACUAAGUACACUCUGUUUUCACCACACCUGUGUGUCAGUGUGUGCAAGAGCACAGUUAUUCCUGAUACAGUCUCACAAGGACAGAAGACAAGAGAGCUAAACCAGUGAAGCACUUCUGUGUCUUUUCUGACUGGUCAUGUAAUGCAAGUGUACAAAUUUGACCUAGUGGUAAUUCUUGAGGAUGAUGGGAUAUGUGUGGAUAGUUUGACAAAGUGGAGGGAAAUCCUGACUCCAUUCCUCACUCUGCUGUGGGUUUCCUACAUUACCAUCUACAAGAAAAACCCUGCAGGAAGAAAAAUCAGCUGGUGCCUUGCCUUUGACAUCAGGAAAGGUAUGAUGUUAUCUUUGGUGUUAUAGAAAAUUAUUUUCUGUGGAAUAGAGAUUAUUAUAAAGUGCUCCUCUGUUUCCCAGAGGUCUCCAUAGAUAAACAUCAAGAACUGCUGCGAUUACACAGUCAGACAAGGAAAAUGUAACUGGAAUCACUUCUUAAAAUUAACAGAAUGAACACUACACAUUCACCUGCUUUUUAAUUUUUUUUUUUUAUGGCUUUGCCUACUGUAGUUCAGUAAUUUUGUUUCCAGUGCAUUUUCCCUAAGUUGUCUUCAUGUGGCACAAAAGGUGUUGCUAAAGACAAUGCCAGGCUAGAAGCAGUCAUCUGUUUUCUAGCUAAAUCCUCCUACAAAGACAGCAACUAGCAACUGGGAUGUAUAGCAGCUGAAGCCGUAAUGGGGCAUACGAUGUUUAAUUGUGCAUAUGUGAUACACACUAUUUAGCUUUCUCAUUGUUCCAUGCAGCACAAAGAAAUCCUCAGGAGGUUGAGAAGGGUCAUAUCCAUGGCUGAAUGAGAAAAUAAUCAUUUAAAAUUAUCAUUAUAGGCCUUCCUCCCGCUGACUUAGCUGGGUGAACCCUAGAAGAUUUAGAGUUCAGGUUCAGUUCAGAUAAACAUCCAAAAGUUCACAGGUUUACCCAAACUAUCUGAUCUCUGGAAAUCUCCAGAACUGCUUUUCUUGAGAGUUUUCCUGCACUUCCAGUUUUGGACAAAAAUCAGAAAUUUAAAAAAAAAAAAAAAAACCCCACAACAUGAACCAAAUAUUACAGAAUCUCAGCAAAACUCAUGUUACACUUUGAAAUUAAUCAUCCAUUCACAUAGAUCUAUCAAGUGUUUUGAUGAUUUUCUUUUAAUAUCAGCUUUUAUGGUUAAAUCAGAGCAUAUUUAUUUUUUCACCUGACUUCUCCCAGUCUAUUCUACUCAUUUUUACCAUAAGAUCUUUGUGAGUGGAACCCAGAGCAAGUGGUAAAGGGAGGCUCAGUUCUACACAUUUACAGUACAUCUACCCAGCACAUUAAGGUUUUUCAGAAAAUAUCUCUCCAUCUAAAAUAUUUAUUAAAGCAGAGACUCAGGGGUAAAGAGAAGAGACAAGGGACAAGGAGUAUAGUGAAGUAGUUUACAAAGUACUGACAUUGGUAACAGAUAUGCCUCCCAUUGGCACAUGAGCUGCUGGUUUCCCUCUUUGACACUGAUAUGGAAAAAACAUCAGCAGCCACACUAUCAGCAAGAACAUGACCCUCUGAUCGGCCGUUGUUCACUUUCCCAGAGCAGACUUCCAUCUCCCAAAUUAGCUGUGGACAGUCGUUUUCUCUGGUGUAAAAAUAUGGUUUGGAUCACUUAAGACAGAUGAUCUGUAUCAAACAAAGAACACAUUGCUUGGCAGUACUUUCCAUCAUCCUCUCCACUUGCACAGCCAGAGAGGAACAUGGGCACCCUUGCCACAUGCCCAUGUGCAGGCUGUGCAGAGCCUUCCUCCUCACUGAACACCCUCCCCAUUCACUCAGUGAUGUGUUGUAUCACUUGUACCAGGCCAGCAAGAAGAAAUGCCUUAUCCUACCUAGUGGGGAAAAAACAUCUCUCAUAAUUUGGCACUACCAUCUGAGUCAACCAAAGGCCUACAGAGUUCAGUCUGAAAAUACCUAUAAGGAAAAGGGGUAUGUAGAGUAAUUCUUUCCCUGCUGCAUCCAUCCAGCUCCCAGGAAGAUACCAGCUUAGAGAUUUCCUGAACUGAGACUUGGCACCUGCACCAUCAUGUUUGAUAGGAACUCACAAACCCAUCCUCUUAUGAUUUGCCUGAUUCCUUCCUGACCUGCUGAUGAUUUUGUCCAGGACAAGAUGCGUCAGUGAGGUCCACAACUUUAUUGCACCUCUUUUUGCUUGUUCAUAGUCCUUGUUUAGUGAGAAACAAUGAAUAUAGAAAUAGUUCCUUAUUUAAUUUCUCUAUCCUUCAUUCACUCUUAUGGCUUUUAAAAAUAACUAUCAUCUUUCCCCCACAGUCAUUCUUUUCCAGCCUAGAAAAUCCAUCAAGUCCUUUGUCAUGUAGAAGUCACUCCAUACCAUCCAUAUCUUUGGGGUUUUUUUCUGAAAAUCCUUGGGAUUUUUAAAUUAAAUGUUUUCAAAGUUUCACAUGGAAGAUCAGGUGUGAAUGUUCUGUGGCAGGAUGCUCUUGCUCUAUACUUUGAUUCCCAUUCCCCUUCUACCAAAUCCUAACAUUCUAUAUGACUCUGACAUCAUUUUGAGGUGACAUUCUCAAAGACACCUGAGGUGUUUCCCCCCAGGUGGGAGUAGCAAUUUCCUGCUAGUCAUGGCAUAUAUAUAGUUUAUGCUAGUUUCACCACUCUUCAUUUAUUAAGAUGAGAAAAUAAGCAGAGAAAAGAGAUUCAGUCAUUCAGCAUCCUAAUAGUAUCUACAGUUCUCCAGGGCUGAUUAAAGUUUAGGUUUUCCUGAAUAGCUUUGUGUCCUUAACAAAUCUUGUCCUUUUGCUGCUUGUCCCCAUUUUUACAUCAGGAAUAAUUUUAAUAACAUGGAACAGAUUUUUGUCACAAACCUUCCACUCCUGUGGUUGCCAUUCACUCUAUUGCAUCAUUGUGAUGUUCUAGAUAAUAUGGGAAGUGUUUUCUUUUUUUUCACCCAUUUACUGGAGGCUUUCCACAUCCAUCCUCAUGAAAGCAUGAAGUACCUCUUAACUGACAUGAGUUAUGAAUUAGAAGAGCAACAACUUUCUCCAUCUUACCUCUUGCUGGGAGUCCAUCAAUACUAUGAUAAAUUAGCUCUUCAAAAAAAGGACCUGUUACAGGAAGCUCGGCUUCCUAUAUAUAUUUUGUUUUUCUUGGUUGUUUAGUUUUUUGGGUUUGUUUUUGGAGGUUUUUUUUUUCAGGCAAGUUCAGCGUUUAUCUCAGGCUUGCCUCCUACCAUUGGCUCAAAUGCCUGAAAUUAUCCAACAUCCCAGAAAUGUUCUCAGAUUUUUGGUCCUGUCUCUCCCCUCCUGCACAAUAAACCUUGGGGCUGCUAAAAUUUCACACUCUCCUGAAAAAACCUCCCAGUCAAUCAGGCAGCUGAAGCUCCCGUUUGCUGCACCACUCCAGAGAAUUGUGUCUCACGGGGUGUGUGCAGCCACUGAUGAAAGGCAGCAGGUUUGAGCAUGAAAUCCGCUGUGGCUGUGGCAGCAGGCAGGAGUGGCUGUCCCGGUGUGCUGGUGCUGGGGAGGAGGAGGGGCACGCCACACAUGAAUAGCCAGGCACACACGGGACAUCUUCUCACCAGAUGGUGCAUCAGACCUGCUGGAGCUCAACUCUUAAUUAAACUAAGAACUAAGGGCCCCACUCAGUCACAGCAUCAGUUUCCUCCCAAACAGAUGUCGGCAAGACACCACAAAAAUUGCAUUCAGUGCAAGCCCAAACCCAGGCUGAGGGUGGCCACUGCCCAAGCCUCACGUACCAUCUCUGUCAGGAUAAAAAGUUUUCUACAGCAGUGAACUGACAGCCCCUUUGUUCUGGGUCAUCAUGCCCUGAAAGCCCCUCUCUCUCCUCCAUGGCAAACCUGAAACCAGCACUCCUGCAGCACAGCACUGUUACUAACCAGGUACAGAAAACAGCCUGAACCAGAGCAGGAAAUUGUCUGUAGAGUUUAUUCAAAGCUUCCCAAAGCCCCCAGCUACCUUAACUUUUCCUAGCAGAUCAUCACACUGACCAAGAUAACCUAAGUGCUGAAAUCCCAGAGGUGCACUGAGCUAAGAGCAAGCUGGCAGCAGGUGUCACAAUGGAUAACCUUACUAGGCAUUUGGAAAAAAAGGAUAAAUCUGCAAAGCCUUCAAAAGCCUCUAGAUAGUGUUUUCAGUAGGUGAAUGAAGAGAAAUUAAAAGAGACCCAGGCCAAGCUGUAUGGCAGCCUUAUAUCUUUGCCUCUGGAUUGCCUUCAAUGCAAUACAAUGAUUUUAGGGAAGUGAGGUCCAUAAGGCCCCAAAGAAGCAAUAAUGAUUUAGUUUAUUUGGGUAAAACCUGAAGCCAGCAGCCUAUCUGUAGUUUUAUUUGUCAAGCAAUGGUAACAGAGUAGUACAGAUUUUUAUAUCCUGGGCAUUGAUUCAGUGUCAAAUAUUUAAUGAAAAAAAAGCAAUAAAAAUAAAAAGUAGUUGAUCCAAGGACUGGCAGUGACUGUAUCCAAGGAUCCAAUCCCUCUCUUACCUCCAGUCCCCUCCUCUCACUUCACCCCAACUUUUCCCUCCCCCUCUGCCUUUCUCACUUGGAAGAUGUUAUUGUUUAACAUGGCACAUUCCCAAGCUGCUAGACCAGGACAGUAAAAUUAUUCACUGACUUUACUGUACUCUUCCACCAGGCACUAAUUUUUUAAGCUUUCAGCUCUCCUUUCCUCCACCCCCACCUCCUCCAUUCCCCAAUGAAAUUUGCCUUUUCCCUUCUCUCCCUCCCUUUUUGCUAGGCAGAAUCUGGAAAAAAGAAAUCAAGGCCAAACUCAACAAAACUACUGCUGCGUAAGAGCAGUCCUUUUUCACACACAGAUGGUCAGUCAGAAGAAUGAGCGCUUUAUAAGACAAACAUCGUGCUGGUCUUUGCGAUCCUGUUCCCCUGGACCUCAGCAGGAGUUUUUCAUCACCAAAGUGGAUAAUAACUCUGUCAGACACCUCAUACACACAGGUAUUAAUAAAAAAAAAAAAAA
Taeniopygia guttata (zebra finch) is the source of this 10117-nucleotide long non-coding RNA. NCBI's taxonomy places the organism in Eukaryota, Metazoa, Chordata, Aves, Passeriformes, Estrildidae. The record is from Ensembl.